This 221-nucleotide long non-coding RNA is filed under the name Elaeis guineensis (African oil palm). Its description in RNAcentral is "long non-coding RNA (EGUI_LNC047189)". The record is from RNAcentral. Lineage: Eukaryota; Viridiplantae; Streptophyta; Magnoliopsida; Arecales; Arecaceae.
GAUCGGAUCGGGGAUCACUUUUAAUUCCGAUCCAGAGCUCAGACAUGACCCAGUAUGGUUUCAACCCGUAAAAAACUAUGAAGAUCUAGUGAAACAGUCGGCCCGUGAUAAACUGACCAGAUCAUGGGUCGAAUAGCAUAGCCACUGGGUAUUAGGUAUAAGGGUAUUUCGCUCCGUAUAUAAUUUUCAUGUCCUCGACUUUCUAUUCGUCGUUGCUGCCC